RNAcentral lists this ribosomal RNA (496 nucleotides) under uncultured bacterium. RNAcentral's name for it is "partial 16S ribosomal RNA". It matches the Rfam family "Bacterial small subunit ribosomal RNA", at positions 29 to 507 of the family's 1533-position model. The record is from RNAcentral.
AUGAACGCUGGCGGCGUGCCUAAUACAUGCAAGUUGAGCGAACGGACGAGAAGCUUGCUUCUCUGAUGUUAGCGGCGGACGGGUGAGUAACACGUGGAUAACCUACCUAUAAGACUGGGAUAACUUCGGGAAACCGGAGCUAAUACCGGAUAAUAUUUUGAACCGCAUGGUUCAAAAGUGAAAGACGGUCUUGCUGUCACUUAUAGAUGGAUCCGCGCUGCAUUAGCUAGUUGGUAAGGUAACGGCUUACCAAGGCAACGAUGCAUAGCCGACCUGAGAGGGUGAUCGGCCACACUGGAACUGAGACACGGUCCAGACUCCUACGGGAGGCAGCAGUAGGGAAUCUUCCGCAAUGGGCGAAAGCCUGACGGAGCAACGCCGCGUGAGUGAUGAAGGUCUUCGGAUCGUAAAACUCUGUUAUUAGGGAAGAACAUAUGUGUAAGUAACUGUGCACAUCUUGACGGUACCUAAUCAGAAAGCCACGGCUAACUACGUG